UCCGGAAGCUCGCAGGUGGCCGCGCCCGGGUGGCCGAGGGGAAGGCCCUGGGGGGCGGCCUGAAUCCUGGCGCGCGUUUGCGGACUGACCCUGUGCGUGACAAGGUAACGGCCGCUCAGGAGCCCGCCUGCAGGAGCCGGGGCCGCUUCUCCCGCAGGGGCUACUCGGUGUGCUGGUUCCGAAAAGCCGCGGGCGCAGAGGUACCCUGGAAAGGGUCAAGCAGAAGAAUGGCACCGUUUUACUUCAUGAAGAACCAUUCUGUGAAUGAACUAUUAUUCAGCAUAAGCAAUUAGUGUAAAUAUAACUUGAGCAAAGAUUUGGAAAAGCUGAAAACAUUUUUGUUAAUUCAACCUCUGCAUAGAAACCAAGAAAAUCUCAGAUUUGAAGCUGCAAGUAUGAUUCUAAGACAAGGACAUGUACCCUUGGAAUGCUACUUGAUUUUUGCUGGAUAUUUAAAGGUCAUGUCAAGUAAUACAAACGUGCAAAAAUACCGACUCUGAAAUUUUAAGUGAGUUUGAAGAAGACAACUUCAUAGGGGUAAAUACUGUCUCAA
Molecule: non-coding RNA, 553 nt
Organism: Vicugna pacos (alpaca)
Lineage: Eukaryota; Metazoa; Chordata; Mammalia; Artiodactyla; Camelidae
Source: RefSeq, a predicted model, not a curated record